GAUCUCAUUUGACCCUUUGUAAACCUAAUUGAUAGGUAACGAAGUAUGUUGGUGAAGUCGGUUCGGCAAACCGACAAGCCGUUGUAAAGAUAUUGAAGAAACGGGCGCUCGGAGCUUCGUUUCCGCCUGGAAGGCCGAGGCGACGUCCAUAAAUCGUGAAAUCGGGUCCCGAGAACCGUUACGGCGAGGCGAAGACCGUUAGCACUUGAAACGGCGAAGCGGCGCGCUCUUGGGGAGCAAUUGUGAGGUCGGGCCCAAACGGGUGCCGAGUGCCGCGGGAGGCCGAUUGCAAGUGUCGACAAGCAAUCGGAAAAGCUAACUAAGGUGGGUUGUGCUUACCGAAGCGACUAGGUCGCCCUUUAUGUCUUAGCAAUGUAAUCUCAUGUUGAUGCAUGUGCAUGUAGACAAGACUAAAUGGUGCAUUAAUAAAUAUGCAUAAAGUAAAGGCUAAGUAAAGAAUGCAUGGUAACAACAAUGCAUAGAUAAAAAUGCUAAGUAGA
This 500-nucleotide long non-coding RNA is filed under the name Ananas comosus (pineapple). RNAcentral's name for it is "long non-coding RNA (ACOM_LNC023213)". The record is from RNAcentral. Lineage: Eukaryota; Viridiplantae; Streptophyta; Magnoliopsida; Poales; Bromeliaceae.